RNAcentral lists this ribosomal RNA (497 nucleotides) under uncultured bacterium. RNAcentral describes it as "partial 16S ribosomal RNA". It matches the Rfam family "Bacterial small subunit ribosomal RNA", at positions 28 to 507 of the family's 1533-position model. The record is from RNAcentral.
GAUGAACGCUGGCGGCGUGCCUAAUACAUGCAAGUCGAGCGAACGGACGAGAAGCUUGCUUUUCUGAUGUUAGCGGCGGACGGGUGGGUAACACGUGGAUAACCUACUUAUAAGACUGGGAUAACUUCGGGAAACCGGAGCUGAUACUGGAUAAUAUUUUGAACCGAAUGGUUCAAAAGUGAAAGACGGUCUUGCUGUCACUUAUAGACGGAUCCGCGCUGCAUUAGCUAGUUGGUAAGGUAACGGCUUACCAAGGCAACGAUGCGUAGCCGACCUGAGAGGGUGAUCAGCCACACUGGAACUGAGACACGGUCCAGACUCCUACGGGAGGCAGCAGUAGGGAAUCUUCCACAAUGGGCGAAAGCCUGACGGAGCAACGCCGCGUGAGUGAAGAAGGUCUUCGGAUCGUAAAACUCUGUUAUUAGGGAAGAACAUAUGUGUAAGUAACUGUGCACGUCUUGACGGUACCUAAUCAGAAAGCCACGGCUAACUACGUG